CGGCGGACGGGUGAGUAACGCGUGGGUAACCUGCCUCAUACAGGGGGAUAACAGUUGGAAACGGCUGCUAAUACCGCAUAAGCGCACAGUACCGCAUGGUACGGUGUAGAAAAACUCCGGUGGUAUGAGAUGGACCCGCGUCUGAUUAGGUAGUUGGUGGGGUAACGGCCUACCAAGCCGACGAUCAGUAGCCGACCUGAGAGGGUGACCGGCCACAUUGGGACUGAGACACGGCCCAA
RNAcentral lists this ribosomal RNA (239 nucleotides) under uncultured bacterium. RNAcentral's name for it is "partial 16S ribosomal RNA". It matches the Rfam family "Bacterial small subunit ribosomal RNA", at positions 96 to 334 of the family's 1533-position model. The record is from RNAcentral.